CAGAUGCUAAUACCGCAUAACAGCGUUGUUCGCAUGAACAACGCUGAAAAGAUGGCUUCUCGCUAUCACUUCUGGAUGGACCUGCGGUGCAUUAGCUUGUUGGUGGGGUAACGGCCUACCAAGGCGAUGAUGCAUAGCCGAGUUGAGAGACUGAUCGGCCACAAUGGGACUGAGACACGGCCCAUACUCCUACGGGAGGCAGCAGUAGGGAAUCUUCCACAAUGGGCGCAAGCCUGAUGGAGCAACACCGCGUGAGUGAAGAAGGGUUUCGGCUCGUAAAGCUCUGUUGUUAAAGAAGAACACGUAUGAGAGUAACUGUUCAUACGUUGACGGUAUUUAACCAGAAAGUCACGGCUAACUACGUGCCAGCAGCCGCGGUAAUACGUAGGUGGCAAGCGUUAUCCGGAUUUAUUGGGCGUAAAGAGAGUGCAGGCGGUUUUCUAAGUCUGAUGUGAAAGCCUUCGGCUUAACCGGAGAAGUGCAUCGGAAACUGGAUAACUUGAGUGCAGAAGAGGGUAGUGGAACUCCAUGUGUAGCGGUGGAAUGCGUAGAUAUAUGGAAGAACACCAGUGGCGAAGGCGGCUACCUGGUCUGCAACUGACGCUGAGACUCGAA
This 615-nucleotide ribosomal RNA is filed under the name Limosilactobacillus fermentum. RNAcentral describes it as "bacterial SSU rRNA". It matches the Rfam family "Bacterial small subunit ribosomal RNA", at positions 157 to 757 of the family's 1533-position model. The record is from RNAcentral. Lineage: Bacteria; Bacillati; Bacillota; Bacilli; Lactobacillales; Lactobacillaceae.